This is a non-coding RNA of Podarcis muralis (Common wall lizard), 4618 nucleotides long. The record is from RefSeq and is a predicted model, not a curated record. Lineage: Eukaryota; Metazoa; Chordata; Lepidosauria; Squamata; Lacertidae.
UUCUAAGAAAGGAAAUUCCGACUAAACAGCAGGGAGAACUUUCUGACAGUACAAGCUGUUCAAUAGUGGAAUGCACUCCCAUGAGAGCCAAUGGACUCCCCUUCCUUGAAAGUUUUAAAGCAUAGGUUGGACAGCCCUGUCAUGUAUGAUCUAGUUGAGAUUCCUGAAUUGCAGGGAGAUGGGCUGGAUUACCCUUUGGAUCCCUUGCAAUUUUAUGCAGAACAAACAUCUAUAUUCCAAUUCACCAUCAUAUCCUCAGCUUUUCUUGGCACAGAAUUUUGAGAGGUGUGAGGAUUUUCCAUCUGCUAUUUCAUAGUGCCAGACUCCCAAUUUAUAAAAUUACACAUGGUGCAUGUUGUAGAUUAUGCUGUGUUAAUAAGUAGAAAGUGGGGCAUGCAGCAAAAUGUAGCAAUAUAAAGAAUGCCAGCCACAUCAUCUUCUAUGAUACUCCCAUUUCAUUCCCACUCCCAGAAGAUACACUCAGCAUUCUCUGGCCACUGAACAUGUUUAGAAUUCAAUGGGCUUGUCCAGAUUCCCUCACUUACAUUUCCCCCCUCUUUAAAGUUACUGGACCUAUGCAAACAACCCUGCUGACACCCCCUUCCUGUGCACGGAUGAUGCCAUUUUGGCUAUAUAAAUACAGGCCUUCAGAGAAUGAGUUCACUAUUAAGAUACAGGAUGCUGAUGUGGUGAUGCAGUUCAGGUGUAUGACAUUGUUCAUGCCUUACCCAGCGCUCAUUGGUCCAUGGGCCCAGAACUUAAGCUAUGAUCAUGUAGAUGUUUCUAACUGGCUCUUCACAAGCCAGUGUUCUCGGUGUCUUGCAAGAUCUUAAUUGAGUCAUGCCCCAAAGAGAAGGUGAAUACUUUUUUAUUAGGUCUCAAUGGGUUUGAGCCAUGAGCUCUCUCUUAGUCUGUUGAUGACUGGUCUGAACUAGACCAGAGAUGUUUUGAAGUGGCCUGGGGAACUGUCUUGGGGACACGAGGUCUAAGAAGGUGAAAAUGUCUGUUUAGCCCCAACUUUCCCACAAGGAGUCUUUUUUAAAAAAAUAUGCAAAGUACACACAGCCCUACCCAAACCAAAUGUAAACAAGCUAGCCUUUAAGAAACAAACUGGAGUAAUUGUGGGGGAAAGGAAAGAUUUGCCUCACCUACCUAGCUGUUGCUAUUAUGUUGGUUGCUAUGUAAACAGUUUUAUUUCUGGCUCACACAGCAUACCAGGUUGUAGGUCAGGGCCAUUUAAUCCUACAUUAUUGGUUUAUGUUUGCUGCAGCCUUCGUCCACUUCAAGUUAGGAUGAAAGCUUCUUCAGCAUUACUCAGGAGCAGCUGUUCUGGCCACCAUAAUGGCAGUUGCUGCUCGAGAUCCAUUGCUGGCAUAAAAGUUUUUUUUGUCAGCACCAGAAAAUAGACAGUAUUCCCUCCCUACCCCUCUCCCUUCCCCAGAGCUGAAAUAGCUGCCACCUGCUAAGGAAUGCUGCUAAGACAAGCCGAUGACAGGCCUGAGAUGGACAUAGGAACGUUGUCCAGCAGGGUGGAGAUUACUAGAAAUCUGACAAAAUCUUUUCUAAUUUUAUGUGGUGGUCAGGAGCAUGGAAUGGAGUGGGGGAGCUGUUCCUGUUCUCUUUUAGCUGUGAACAAAAAAUGACUAAAUUCUUUGACAAUCUUAUUCCUCUUCUGCCAUGUAGAUCUUUCUAACGAAAACAGUUACACAUCAGUGCAGUGAAACAUUACAGUAUUGUUUCAGCAGGGGUAAGGGAGCACAAUAUAGGUAACCAAGCCCCCCUUUAUUAUUUCAGUUGCUAAUGUUGGAUGUUGCACCUUCAUACAACACAGAGUUCAGCCCUGCUGUGUUUUAAUUCUUAAAUCUCUCCAUCUGGUCUUUUAUAUUCAACCUCACAGUACUGGUCCAAACCAUUUUUCUGCCUGUGGUAAAGGACAAGAUGGUGUGUCCCACCAUUCCAUGUUCAGAAGCUAACUGGGCUAGCAGUUGAAUCUUAUUUCGAUUCUCAUAAUGGGGCCAUGUCCUCGAUUAUGACUGAGGUCAGCAGGCUAGUUAUGGGUGUGCAGAACAGGCCAUGUGAUACACAUAGUUCUGCCUUAAAACAGAAGGGUCAGCCAGCAGGCUUCCACCACUGCUCCCCAGCGGCUUCCACCUGAGGCAGUCACCUCAUUCUGCCUAAUGAUAGGAUUUGUCCCAAUCACUAAGAAGCCCCAAAGGCCCAUGCAAUGCCAUAUAGGGUUGGAUAUAGCCUGUCUCUUUUUGCCCCUGCAAAUGUAAUGCUAAUGACCUUACAGGUGGCUAGAACCCCACAGGGGUGAGGGCAGCUGUUGGCAUAGCAAUGCUGUUAGCUGUUCCAGUAAAAUCACCAGGUUACAUGCUUUUGCCUUGUCCUUGAGUCAGAAAUUGAUCUUAAUAUUUGAUUCUGUGAGCUGUUUUGCCAGGGCACUUGCAGCAUUAGUUCUUCUGACCUAGUUUUUUUAAGUACUGUACCACAAAAGGGAUGAAAUAGUAUAUAUACGGGCUGCAUUGUUAAUGCAGCACCAUAAAGCACUAUACUAUGCUGGCUUUGUAGGGACAUUAUGCUGGCAAUGCAGAUAUGCAGACACGUAUAUUCUUCACUUUCCUUAGUAGACUUUAGGAACCUAAAAGUUAUCGGAGAUAAAUUGAUAUUACUUAUUAUUAUUGUGCAGUUCUUUCAAGUGUUUAAAGCACUUCACACACACUAACUACGUGUAAUUCUUCCAGCACCGCUGUAUGGUUUAUUGGUAUUAUUAUCCCCCAUGUUGCAGAUAGGGGAGGGGAGGACUGAAUCUGAAAGGGAACAGGGGUCACCAGUUAUUUUGAGUCACAUAGAAUUAUGAUUUGGAAUUUUGAGUGUUCUUGCUGUCAGUCACAAAAUGACUGCUGUGGGGGGCAUAGCAUAACACAAAAUGGCUGCCACAUCUAAAGGAGCACAAAAUCAGACAGAACCACAAAAUGGUACAGAACUACUCUGGGUUUGGGGGAUCUCAACCCUCUCUCCUCUUUAAUGGAUGUAUAUGGAAGAGAAGCAGGCUGGCUACACUACUGGAUGGACAUGACCAAAUCCAAAGCAGUACCUAUUCCUGCAACUUGGCCUGUUCUUCCUGAGCAGAGGAUGUUCCUCCAGAGUCUUCUUAUCUGGGUUUGUGCCUUGGCAAAAAUGUUCCUGACCUUGCACACAACUUUUUUUUUACUAGCAUCGCUGCUGGAGGCAGACUGACCCUAACCCCAGCCAUGGUCUCAGACGACGACUGCCUUUGCUGAUGCUGAAUGGAGUUUGUCAGAUCGAAAUACUCAAAUAUUAUGCUGUUUUUGGCUUUGAUUACAGUUGCAUAAUGUGUGUGAUGUUUUUCUGUUCCGUGAAACUGCAGAAAUUGGCUCCCUAGGUGGCAGAACACAGGGGUGUUGAUGUACAGUAAACCUGAGAGCCCUGCUAAGUCGGCAUUUGGAUUAGGCUUUUUAGAGAAGUUGCUGAGGCAGAAAGGUUGGAGCCAAGCAUAGCCUGCAUCAGCUGAAGGGGGAAAGGGACGAUAGGCUCUCUGCUCAAACCCUUUUACCCUGAAGCUUGGGGCCAGAGGUGCAGUUAGAUAAUUUUAGAAUCCGGACUUAAUGGCCUUGCAGGGUGGGGGUGCUACUAAGAUGGUAAUGUGCAUUACUGUACUUAAGUACACUUAAUAUUCACUUAGAGUUAAUGAUCUAAAAGGGGCCCCUCUUUAGAUUAUGCUGUGCAUUAUUUCACUUACUUCAAUAUAUAGUAAUAGGGCAUGUCACUCUAGGGAGUAAAACUUAUUUUUUUGCAAAUUUCUUCAGUGAGCAGUCUUAAAAAUACUUUUUUGAGUGUGAAGAACUCAAAUCUGCUAUUACUUUUAUGACUGGACAACAUUUAUCGUGGUAAGUCUACGCCCAAUGAAGAGGCACAUAAACUGCUUUCGGAAAACCAAAUAAUUUUAAUUUUAGCUCCUGAAAAUGUCAGGUAAUAUAAAAUAAAUAUUAAUAUGUAAUAUAACUGCAGGUACUUUGCAACCAGUUUUAAUUAUUUCUGUGCAAUUUUAAACAUAUUUUACUUACCAAGCAAAACUAAAUUAUGUCAAUUUAAACAAAAUAUCUUUGGAAUUCCCAAGUCAGGUUACAACAUCUCAGCGCCCCUCAUGUUUGGAAUCUGAAAGUUGAAAAAUUCAACAUGCCCUAAUAUAGUAAGCCAGCCAAGCUGCAUUGGGGACCCCUGGACUUCUGUCCCAUAGUCCUGUCCUGACAGCAUCACUGCCUGGAAUGGAGAUGGAAGGAGCUAGCGGAGUAUGAACAGGAAGCAAAAAUGGUGGGGGCAGGGCAAGCUCUAUUACAAAUGAGUUGGAGAGGGCAACAGUCAAUGCCUGACAAACGGCCCUGAAUAAAUCAGCAGCAGGGUUAGGAUUUCAUUUUCUAAAAGUUGCUGAACGGAAGGCUGAUUCCUCAUCACUUCAACAAAGCGAAGGGAACAAGUAAGAAUUCAAACAGAUUCAUUGUUGAACUCACUAUCAUUUUUCUAGCAUAACUUGUUUUGCUUUCAGUUAAUGGUUCAUAUUUUGGGGUCAUUCUGAAUCUGGAAGCCAUGCUUGGGG